UAGGGAAUCUUCGGCAAUGGACGAAAGUCUGCCCGAGCAACGCCGCGGGGGUGAAGAAGUUUUUCGGAUCUUAAAACUCUUUUGUUAGAGAAGAACAAGGACGUUAGUAACUGAACGUCCCCUGCCGUUAUCUAACCAGAAAGCCCCGGCUAACUACGUGCCAGCAGCCGCGGUAAUACGUAGGUGGCAAGCUUUGUCCGGAUUUAUUGGGCGUAAAGCGAGCGCAGGCGGUUUCUUAAGUCUGAUGUGAAAGCCCCCGGCUCAACCGGGGAGGGUCAUUGGAAACUGGGAGACUUGAGUGCAGAAGAGGAGAGUGGAAUUCCAUGUGUAGCGGUGAAAUGCGUAGAUAUAUGGAGGAACACCAGUGGCGAAGGCGGCUCUCUGGUCUGUAACUGACGCUGAGGCUCGAAAGCGUGGGGAGCAAACAGG
This 429-nucleotide ribosomal RNA is filed under the name Gemmatimonadota bacterium. Its description in RNAcentral is "Gemmatimonadetes bacterium partial 16S ribosomal RNA". It matches the Rfam family "Bacterial small subunit ribosomal RNA", at positions 355 to 776 of the family's 1533-position model. The record is from RNAcentral. Lineage: Bacteria; Pseudomonadati; Gemmatimonadota.